Molecule: ribosomal RNA, 631 nt
Filed under: uncultured bacterium
Lineage: Bacteria
Description: bacterial SSU rRNA
Rfam family: Bacterial small subunit ribosomal RNA
Source: RNAcentral
CUGGGAUGGACCUGCGGUGCAUUAGCUAGUUGGUAAGGUAACGGCUUACCAAGGCGAUGAUGCAUAGCCGAGUUGAGAGACUGAUCGGCCACAAUGGAACUGAGACACGGUCCAUACUCCUACGGGAGGCAGCAGUAGGGAAUCUUCCACAAUGGGCGCAAGCCUGAUGGAGCAACACCGCGUGAGUGAAGAAGGGUUUCGGCUCGUAAAGCUCUGUUGUUGGAGAAGAACGUGCGUGAGAGUAACUGUUCACGCAGUGACGGUAUCCAACCAGAAAGUCACGGCUAACUACGUGCCAGCAGCCGCGGUAAUACGUAGGUGGCAAGCGUUAUCCGGAUUUAUUGGGCGUAAAGCGAGCGCAGGCGGUUGCUUAGGUCUGAUGUGAAAGCCUUCGGCUUAACCGAAGAAGUGCAUCGGAAACCGGGCGACUUGAGUGCAGAAGAGGACAGUGGAACUCCAUGUGUAGCGGUGGAAUGCGUAGAUAUAUGGAAGAACACCAGUGGCGAUGGCGGCUGUCUGGUCUGCAACUGACGCUGAGGCUCGAAAGCAUGGGUAGCGAACAGGAUUAGAUACCCUGGUAGUCCAUGCCGUAAACGAUGAGUGCUAGGUGUUGGAGGGUUUCCGCCCUUCA